UGUAAUAGACAUCAACGAAUGCGCCUCUAAUGACGACAGAGGACGCUGUGAACAUGUCUGUGCAAACACAGAUGGUAGUUUCACCUGUAGCUGUGACAGCGGCUACACUCUCAACACGGACAGGCUGACGUGUGAUGACAUAAAUGAAUGUGCAGAAAAUGACGACAGAGGACCCUGUGAACAUACCUGUGCAAACACAGAUGGUAGCUUCAACUGUAGCUGUGAAACUGGCUACACUCUCAACACGAACAGGCGCACGUGUGAUGACAUAGAUGAAUGUGCAGAAAAUGACGACAGAGGACCCUGUGAACAUACCUGUGCAAACACAGAUGGCAGCUUCAUCUGUAGCUGUGACUCUGGCUACAAUCUCA
Molecule: long non-coding RNA, 371 nt
Organism: Branchiostoma floridae (Florida lancelet)
Lineage: Eukaryota; Metazoa; Chordata; Leptocardii; Amphioxiformes; Branchiostomatidae
Exons: 3
Source: RefSeq, a predicted model, not a curated record